Molecule: ribosomal RNA, 497 nt
Filed under: uncultured bacterium
Lineage: Bacteria
Description: partial 16S ribosomal RNA
Rfam family: Bacterial small subunit ribosomal RNA
Source: RNAcentral
GAUGAACGCUGGCGGCGUGCCUAAUACAUGCAAGUCGAGCGAACAGACGAGGAGCUUGCUCCUCUGACGUUAGCGGCGGACGGGUGAGUAACACGUGGAUAACCUACCUAUAAGACUGGGGUAACUUCGGGAAACCGGAGCUAAUACCGGAUAAUAUAUUGAACCGCAUGGUUCAAUAGUGAAAGACGGUUUUGCUGUCACUUAUAGAUGGAUCCGCGCCGCAUUAGCUAGUUGGUAAGGUAACAGCUUACCAAGGCAACGAUGCGUAGCCGACCUGAGAGGGUGAUCGGCCACACUGGAACUGAGACACGGUCCAGACUCCUACGGGAGGCAGCAGUAGGGAAUCUUCCGCAAUGGGCGAAAGCCUGACGGAGCAACGCCGCGUGAGCGAUGAAGGUCUUCGGAUCGUAAAACUCUGUUAUUAGGGAAGAACAAAUGUGUAAGUAACUAUGCACGUCUUGACGGUACCUAAUCAGAAAGCCACGGCUAACUACGUG